This 1227-nucleotide ribosomal RNA is filed under the name Euglena gracilis. Its description in RNAcentral is "partial large subunit ribosomal RNA". It matches the Rfam family "Eukaryotic large subunit ribosomal RNA", at positions 76 to 911 of the family's 3401-position model. Lineage: Eukaryota; Euglenozoa; Euglenophyceae; Euglenales; Euglenaceae. The record is from RNAcentral.
UGCUGCAGUAAUGGCGAAUGAACGAGCAGGACCCACGGCUCUUCCUGAAAAUGGGCUUCCUGACUCGAGGACCCCGACUUUAGGUCACCUGUGUGGUGCCUGGGUUGUGGUGCAUCUCGAUCGGCUUUCGUUGGAAUCCAGCAAACCCUGUGGGCUAUGGAGCAGUUGGCUGUGUCUCGGUGCUUCCCAGUACCAAGAAGAGUCCUGGAAUGGACCCACGAAACAGGGAGACUGUCCCGUAUGGCUGAACCGUGUGCUGGGAUCACUGGGAUGUGGCUGGCUGUAUCCCCGAGUAGAGUGGCUUGGGACUGCAGUUUGAAGAGUGACGUGUAUCCGUCACAAGGUGGCAUACAGACCUGGGACCGAUAGUGCACAAGUAGAGUGAUCGAAGGAUGCAAAGAACUCCGCGAAGAGGGUUAAAAGUCCCUGAAGCCGCAACAGGAUCGGUGGUGUGCAGUGCUGUAUCGUUCUAGAUCUGACCAAGCGUCUCUGGGUCAGCCCAGGGCUGGCCACCGAGCCCCUGUCUCCGGACAGGGAUGACUAUCGUGGCAGCCCCGUGGUGGCAGCUCCGCCUGCCAGGACCUGGAGUUUGCGAGUGAGACAUUCAACCAAGUGUGGGAAUCGUGACGGACCGACCCCGGUCAACGGUGGUCUUGUUGUGUGGCUGAACGGUCUCCAAGCAGAGUGUGCCAGAGGCCUCCCACACCACUGCCCUGUUGCAUCGGGUGUUCGAUGCCGGUCGAUGGUUGUUGCUGCUUGUCCUCGAUCCCGGUGUGUCUUCGGACAUGUCGGUCGCUGGUGGUUGGGCUGGAUUCGGGGUGUGCUUGGCUGCACCGGGGGCUGCACCGUUCUGACGGUGGUCCCCUUGCUGGCUGCACCGUCCCCCAGCCUGACCCCAGUGAGAAAUUGGCAGCAGAGCUUGGCACCCCUCCUUGCAGUGCUGCUCUCUGCCCGUCUCGAAACACGGACCAAGGAGUCUAAGGAGCUUGCCAGUCGGAUGGCUGAUCCAAAACCUCUUCUGAGGCGUGGUGAAGGCAACUAUCCUUCCAGAUGGGGCUAGUCUCUGCAUGGAACGACCGGACCCGAAGUCCAGUGGACAGGGUUUCGAGUGCUUGCAAGGUCCUUGGGACCCGAAAGGUGGUGAACUAUACCGUUCUACGGUGAAGCCAUGGGAAACUGUGGUGGAAGCCGGUCGCUGUUCUGACGUGCAAAUUGUGUAGCCUGAGU